Patella vulgata (common limpet) is the source of this 1610-nucleotide long non-coding RNA. RefSeq lists it as uncharacterized. The record is from RefSeq and is a predicted model, not a curated record. The transcript is spliced from 4 exons. NCBI's taxonomy places the organism in Eukaryota, Metazoa, Mollusca, Gastropoda, Patellidae.
UCAUCGAUCAUAGUGCACCGGGAUUUUAUCAAAAAAGAGUAAAAGUUGGGGAAAGGUGCCAUCACAUUUUUUGUACUGAUAGACAGAUGCAACUACUCGCACGCGCAAAAACUUGGUAUAUGGAUGCAACUUUUCGGGUGGUGAACAAGCCAUGGUCUCAGCUGUUUUCCAUACACGCCUUCAUUAAGACUGGAGAGACCACCCGACAGUUACCAUUGGUGUUUUGUGUAAUGUCGGGUAAAAGCCAAGACGACUAUUAUAAGUUUCCAUAUUAGAUGCCAUAGCAAAUCAAAGAUCAUAUAAUAAAAUAAGUCAAAAAACCCAAAUAUGGAAAAAGAAAGAGCUGAAGAAAUGGUGAUUUGAGCACCUAUGCUUUCUCAUAGGUGUUUUUGGAGGUUAACUACAUCAGAAAGAUCAAGACAGUUGGAAAUGGCUAUUCAUAUUAUGGAAACUUUUUCUCACAGAGCUUGAUAAUCAGGUAAAAUGCUGGAAGAUUAUUUGAUGUAUGAUAACAACAAGAGAUCCCAAGCAUCAAUUUAUUUUAUAAUUCUGGAAAAGAAUGCAUUUGACCCAAUUUUUGAAUAUUUUUUUUUGUUUUUACUGUUAAAUAUUCAUCCCAAACACAAUUAGAUUUUAAUUCUCUACAGAAAUUUAUGUAUAAUAUAGAAUGUAAAGUGACAUAUAAAUCACUUAGAAUUUGGUCGGAAAUCAUAAAGUAUUUAAUAGGCAUAGUCUAGAAACCAAAUGUAGAUCAAAUAUACCCAGAAUUACAAAAAACCUUGACCUACAUUAAGGUGACUUUCCCUUGCUUAUGAAAUGAAAUAGGGUUUAAUAUCCUACUUUUCUGUGUUAUUAUGGUGAUUCUGCCCUACAACCUACUCUUAUAUCAAAUAUUUCAACUGUCACGGGUUGUUUAAAGGGAAUCCAGGAGGGCCGAAUGGUUAACACACGCACAUUGGAUCAGAAGGGUCUGUCAUUGAGUCAGAUAAUUCAAUUGUCAAGGGUUCUUUAAAGUAAACGCAGUGGGGGUAGUUUCAAUUCUGGGCUUAUACCCAAUUAUCCCUUGCCAUGUCCUACACUACUGACGUGUGGGAACUAUGUCGGAAAAUCCAGUUGAAAUUUCUCGGCCAAUGCACUCACUGAACCACAGUGGCUCCUCCUUGCUUUUGACUUGUGAUUAUUUAUAUAUAUUUUGUACAUAUUAUUUAAUGUUUGCGAUUUUCUCUGAUAUUUUUUUAUUUUUCAAUCCUGUAAUCUUGAUGCUUUGCUCCUUUUAUGUACAAAAUAUUCAUUUUGUUUGAGGAAAAGGUUCUACAUCAUUUUAUUACUCCUGCAAAAUAGUGCAUUUUUCUUUUGUUAGUUUUCUGUGUAUGCUAGUUAUUUCUAGAUGCCUCACAAAUCACUUGUAAUAUGACUUUGUAGCACUUUUCAGUUUCUGAAAGUAUUUCAAUUUAGUGCAUAAUUAAUCUAAUUAGGGCUUGGUUUGGAUGUUAUUAAAUUUAGAUAUAUUUGAAUUAUAUAUUUUUGGGGUAUGGGGUAGGGAUCUUUCUUUUCUCAGUUCUUGUUUUCGGGUAAAGAAAAAAUUAAAUAGCUAUUUUGUAUUUUGUGAU